This 306-nucleotide ribosomal RNA is filed under the name uncultured bacterium. RNAcentral's name for it is "partial 16S ribosomal RNA". It matches the Rfam family "Bacterial small subunit ribosomal RNA", at positions 507 to 807 of the family's 1533-position model. The record is from RNAcentral.
GACAGCAGUCGCCGCGGUAAUACGUAGGGUGCAAGCGUUAAUCGGAAUUACUGGGCGUAAAGCGUGCGCAGGCGGUUAUAUAAGACAGAUGUGAAAUCCCCGGGCUCAACCUGGGAACUGCAUUUGUGACUGUAUAGCUAGAGUACGGCAGAGGGGGAUGGAAUUCCGCGUGUAGCAGUGAAAUGCGUAGAUAUGCGGAGGAACACCGAUGGCGAAGGCAAUCCCCUGGGCCUGUACUGACGCUCAUGCACGAAAGCGUGGGGAGCAAACAGGAUUAGAUACCCCGGUAGUCCCUGUCUCUUAUAC